Molecule: non-coding RNA, 1372 nt
Organism: Cinara cedri
Lineage: Eukaryota; Metazoa; Arthropoda; Insecta; Hemiptera; Aphididae
Source: the annotation of a GenBank genome assembly
CUCUAUAUCAUGGUUUUAAAUGAAAAAAACUUUAAGUGAUAAAAUUGAGAUAAUGACUACAAUAGACAAUCGUAUCAAAAAAAUUGAAACAGUAAGAAACAAGAAUAGUUUGUAACCACAAAAAUUCAUAAUUUGUUAGUGUAACAUGAAAAAUCAUGGUAAGUACAAAAUACUUAUACUAAAAAAAAAUUGUAUGUGCUUUUUCUUGAUUAUUUGUAUAAUUGGACUGGAUAAAUUCACACAAUCUAACCUUACCUAACCUUAGAUUUAAAAUCGAUGUUGACAUUGAUAUCGAAAUCGGUAGUUACGUGGGAAAAUUUUAGAAAUAACAUUGUAUUCAUUUUUGUUUAUGUUCAAACAUAACAAUAGUUGAAGAAAUAUAUUUUGAGCAAUUUAAGUUUUUUGAAAAAAUAUUUUAGGUAUAAGUAAACAAAAUAAUGAAUGACAUAAACAAUAGUUAGAAGUUAAAUGGUUGUUUAUUUUUAAAAUAAUAUUUGAGACUAAAGAAGAAUAUUAUUGUAUAUUAAAAGUAGUGUAGUUUUACUUGAUCUGUCAGUUUAUAAUGCGGCUGUUGAACUUUUUUCCCUAUUGAACAGCAUAUGGACUUAGUCGCAAACAAAUUAAAUAGCUACCUAUGUUAACUGUUUUAAAAACUUGAGAACAAUUUUAUGAAUAUGUUGUAGGAAACAGAAUUGUUGAAAAAAGUUCACAGCUCGUCCAAAUAUUCAACAAACCAAGCAAGCCGGAGAUACUGGAAGUACAAUUUUGUCUAACUAAUUUUAUAUUUAUAUAGUAUUCAUUAUCAAAAAGAUAUAUUUAUUUAUUUUGAUCUUAAACAGUAUCAGUUAUAUCUAUGUUAACUUGAUAUUAUUACCUAUAUAUACUAAACAUUUUUUAAAUACCUAGGUUAAGUAUUAUUACAUAAUUAUGAACUGAAUUCGAGCAAUAGUAAUUUGGUAACCAUACUCCAAGGUCAAUAAAAAACAAGUAUCAAUUAUGAUCCACAAUCAUAUUUCAUACAGGAUCUGAAAUAUUGUAAUUUUAUUGUCAUAAUAAAAUGCACAAUAUGUUUGUUGAUAAAAUGAAGAAAAAAAAAUGAAAACUCGAGGUAUAGUAAGUAGUGUUUACCUUAAAAAACUGACAGGUAAUACCUUACAAGUAGUUAAAAAAAAAUGGUUGAGUAAUUAAUUUAAUUUAUAGUGAAAUUAUAAAAAAUACUAUACUAUUUAUUUUUUAUAUUAAUAUACUAUUUAGCUAUUCAAGUUUUAACUAAUAGCUCAGAUAUAAUUUGUCAUAAUAAUUUAUAAUUUAAGAAAUCAUAUAAUAAUUUAAUUUAAUUGUACAUACAAUAUAAAUGACAAGCCAUCACAAU